RNAcentral lists this ribosomal RNA (558 nucleotides) under Afrarchaea godfreyi. Its description in RNAcentral is "eukaryotic LSU rRNA". It matches the Rfam family "Eukaryotic large subunit ribosomal RNA", at positions 664 to 1138 of the family's 3401-position model. Lineage: Eukaryota; Metazoa; Arthropoda; Arachnida; Araneae; Archaeidae. The record is from RNAcentral.
GACCAAGGAGUCUAACCCGCAUGCGAGUCGUAGGGUCUUGCGUAGGCCCCGUGGCGCAGCGAAAGCAAAGUCGAGACAUCUGGGCGAAUUGUUAGGUCCAGUUAGCAUCGGCGGCUCGGCGGACGUUUCCGGAUGAAAUCGGCCCGUUGCAGGGAAGGCGUCAAAAACCUUUUUUGCGACGGGGAGCCGUGUCCGGCACGUCGGAGUCGGAGCAUGCGAGUUGGUACCCGAAAGAUGGUGAACUAUGCCCCGCCAGGGCGAAGUCGGAGGAAACUCCGGUGGAGGCCCGAAGCGGUUCUGACGUGCAAAUCGAUCGUCGGAGCGAGGUAUAGGGGCGAAAGACUAAUCGAACCGUCUAGUAGCUGGUUCCCUCCGAAGUUUCCCUCAGGAUAGCUGGCAUUCGUGAAACUCAGUCUCUCCUCGUAGAGAGAAUGAAUAGAGGCCAUGGGGCCCUAGACGACCUCAACCUAUUAUCAAACUGCUACGAGGUGCGUCGGUAGUGACUUGCUGACUUGAAGUCACGCUAUGGGAUGUGUGAGUGCCGUGUGGGCCACUUUU